RNAcentral lists this long non-coding RNA (1235 nucleotides) under Nicotiana benthamiana. RNAcentral's name for it is "long non-coding RNA (NBEN_LNC034887)". The record is from RNAcentral. Lineage: Eukaryota; Viridiplantae; Streptophyta; Magnoliopsida; Solanales; Solanaceae.
UGGAUUCCCCAUCUCCCAAAUUCUCUCUCAGAAACCCUAGCCGCCUCCCUCCACUUCCACCCUAGAACCACUGGAAUCUAUGGCUUCAAAGGCCAUAGAAGUCCUAUACCGACCUCCUAUGAAUCAUACAUGCUUGAUUAUCAUGGUUUCGUGGCUAGACCUUGAAGAAUCUUUGUCUAGACCUCGGUGCUUUCAGUCAUAUGGCUGUCUCUGGUCAUCUCCGACCUUGCUCCGGCCAGCCAUGUCUAUUCAAGCCUACUCUUGGUUUCUCUUGCUUAGAUCAAUGACCUUCCAAGCCUUUCUCACCUUCGAGAUUCUUCUAAAACCCUAAUCUUCGAGGUUCUCCUGAUUCUUUUAGAUCCGUUGUAGAUCUGUAUUUUCUCUAAGCUCCUAAACAUUUUCUCAUGGUUUGUUUCAAAAUUCUACUUUUAGAACCUUUGUCUUUUCUAAUUUAGGGUUCUUGUUACUUUAUUCGAAGCUCUUCUGAUUUUUUUAAACAUGUCCACUGUGUUUCUUAUGUUGUUCUUCUACUGUGUUCUUUAUGUUGAUCUUCUACUGGAAUGUGCAUGUUAAAAGUUUUAGUUCCUUUUUGAGACUUCUGAACUUAUUUUGUUAGUAUUUCUGUUUGAUUUACUUGCUUUCAUCUCUAUACUCGAUUGACGGGAGAACCCUAAAUUUAGGAAUUCAUUUGAGUUUUGAGGCCAUUGGAUAUGUGCGAUUUGUUUGUACUUCAUCUAUGAAUUUACUUGAUUUCAAAACCUUGACCCCUUUGUACCUAUUUCGAGUGUCUACUUGAUUAGACUUCAAAAAUAUUUGUUUCAACCUUUGUUUCUUUACAUGAUUCUGAUUCCUAGCUAAACUUUUCUAAGGUCCUUCUGCUAGACCCUUUGUAUGCCAUUUGAUAUUAUCUCUCUUCUACAUUGCUGACCUAUGUGACUACCAUAGUUUACUACUUACUAAUUUUGCAAUUAACAGAUGUUUUUCUUUGCUCUAAAUUCAGCCUACCAUGCUUGUAUGCUCUUUAUAUGUGCUUUCAAAUUUUGAAUGAUUUCAGACUUCCUUCGUGAAAGCCUGAUUGAUUUCUUUCCUUGUUUGUUGAUUUUCCUGUUACUUGGUUUAAGUCGAAAACUAUCCUUAGCUUUUCUGACUUGGUUCAUUCAUGGACCAAUAAUUACAAACCUCUGACUCCUUGAUUUAUUGUGUACUAAUUGAUUCUUACCUUAUUUUGUUUUAAC